AGAGAGAUAGCUGGGUCAAAUGGUGUUUCCAUUCCAAUUUUCCCAGAAAUCUCCAUACUGCUUUCUACAUUGGCUGCACCAAUUUGCAGUCCCACCAGCAAU
RNAcentral lists this microRNA precursor (102 nucleotides) under Marmota monax (woodchuck). The record is from RNAcentral. Lineage: Eukaryota; Metazoa; Chordata; Mammalia; Rodentia; Sciuridae.